This 495-nucleotide ribosomal RNA is filed under the name uncultured bacterium. RNAcentral describes it as "partial 16S ribosomal RNA". It matches the Rfam family "Bacterial small subunit ribosomal RNA", at positions 28 to 507 of the family's 1533-position model. The record is from RNAcentral.
GACGAACGCUGGCGGCGUGCCUAAUACAUGCAAGUAGAACGCUGAAGGAGGAGCUUGCUUCUCUGGAUGAGUUGCGAACGGGUGAGUAACGCGUAGGUAACCUGCCUGGUAGCGGGGGAUAACUAUUGGAAACGAUAGCUAAUACCGCAUAAUAGUAGAUGUUGCAUGACAUUUGCUUAAAAGGUGCAAUUGCAUCACUACCAGAUGGACCUGCGUUGUAUUAGCUAGUUGGUGGGGUAACGGCUCACCAAGGCGACGAUACAUAGCCGACCUGAGAGGGUGAUCGGCCACACUGGGACUGAGACACGGCCCAGACUCCUACGGGAGGCAGCUGUAGGGAAUCUUCGGCAAUGGACGGAAGUCUGACCGAGCAACGCCGCGUGAGUGAAGAAGGUUUUCGGAUCGUAAAGCUCUGUUGUAAGAGAAGAACGAGUGUGAGAGUGGAAAGUUCACACUGUGACGGUAUCUUACCAGAAAGGGACGGCUAACUACGUG